UUUUUUUUAUGUUUUAUACUGGAGAGAAGUGUUUGCUUUACCGGUAUAGUAAAGCGAGAGAGAAUCUAUCCUUUCUUAGGGUUCCAAGUAAUUCAACUAGUGCCAUGAAAACUAUCUUGUUGUAGAGCGAGGUAGCAGAAGAAGUUGGCACAAUAUGUAAUCCCUAGAGUAUGGGUGGUGGACUUCUUUUCCUGGAGAACAAGCAAUGAAGGUAUCUAGUCUAGGGAAUAAGCAUCGACUAACUCUAUGCUAGUAGCCGUGGUAAUGCGAGGAUGCAAGCAUUGUCUAGAAUGAUUCGGCGUGAAACGUCUGUACGAGGCUUUUCAAGUUUGCUGUCUCACAUGCGGUGGAAACUAGCAAGAUGGAGUACAGUAGGGGCAGAGGGAAUUUCUGGAGGAGCGGUGAUCAGAAAGCACAUCAACGACGAACACACUCUGAUGGGCUGACACUGACACAGAUAGACAAAAGUUAGGGAAGUGAAUGGGAUUAGAUACCCAAUCGUCCUUAGCCGUAAAUGAUUGAUACUAGGCGUUAUGCAUAUCGACCCGUGUUGUGUUGUAGCAAACGCGUCUUGACACGUAUUCUCUGCUGGAGUUCAGACCUCAACCACU
RNAcentral lists this non-coding RNA (611 nucleotides) under Capsicum annuum. Its description in RNAcentral is "Bacterial small subunit ribosomal RNA". It matches the Rfam family "Bacterial small subunit ribosomal RNA", at positions 1 to 903 of the family's 1533-position model. The record is from Rfam by way of RNAcentral. Lineage: Eukaryota; Viridiplantae; Streptophyta; Magnoliopsida; Solanales; Solanaceae.